This 236-nucleotide long non-coding RNA is filed under the name Nicotiana benthamiana. RNAcentral describes it as "long non-coding RNA (NBEN_LNC034304)". The record is from RNAcentral. Lineage: Eukaryota; Viridiplantae; Streptophyta; Magnoliopsida; Solanales; Solanaceae.
AAUAACCCGAAUCCAUAUUGCUGAAGAUAAGCAUUGAGGAGAGAAUGCAUCUCCGACUCAAAGGUUUUUCGAGUGCCACACCCGUAGUAAGCCCCAACUAACAACAACAACAACCCAGUAUAAUCCCACUUAGUGGGGUCUGGGGAGGGUAGUGUGUACACAGACCUUACCCCUAUCCUGAGGCAGAGAUGUUGUUUCCAAAUAGACCCCCGGCAUCCUUCCCUCCAAGAACUUCC